GAGGGGUGUUACCUCUUCUCUGCAGAUCUUGGCUUAUUGCAGGAUACGACUCAGUACAGGUGGCAAAGCAACAAAUCAGAUCAUUUCAAGGGACGCAGUCAGUGGUCUCACACCCUUUGUGAUAACCUUCUUGAAGAGCAAAGCACCUGUUCCACCUCACAUCUAUGGAAACCUCAGAAGAGCAGAGACGCCCAGAGAGGCAACCAAGGACUAUGCGCAAAAGUGGUACACAUUCAGGAUCUCCUCAAAGACUGAGGUGUCAACGACGCAGUGGGUCCUGCACCACCAAGAGCAUCAUCUCCUCUACUUCAGAAAGACGCAAUGAGAGGGAGAGGAACAGGGUGAAGUUGGUCAAUCUUGGCUUUGCUAAACUCAAACAGCAUGUACCCCAAGCUCAGGGUCCAAAUAAGAAGAUGAGCAAAGUGGAGACCCUGCGGUCCGCUGUAGAGUAUAUAAGUGCUUUACAAAGCCUUCUCCUGGAUAGGCAAUCAGGAGUGGAGACACAAGGAGGACCAAGCUCUGAUGGACUAUCCCCAUGUGGCAGCACCUGCUCAGUGGACUCAGGGUCCAUGCCUCUGUCACCAGGGUCUUGUUCCCCAUAUACGUCAGAAGAGUGUUCCCAGGAAGACAGCAGUGUGUCAGAUGCAGACUUGUUCAUGACAUUGCAUGGCUGGUGAUAGCUUCACAAUGAGAAAAUAAAGAGGGUCCCACAUUGGUAAUCUUCUUAUGGCUGACACUAUUAAGAGGGACUCUCCUGACACGUCUGUUUUAGUCAAUGGUGGGAUCCGGCUUUGAAUAAAAUUCUCGCAACAAUAUUUCUCAUCGGGACAGGAAAAGUUUCAUGGAAUAUGUGGAGACCGUUAUUUAUAUGGGACUUUGUAGAUAGAUAUGUAUUUUUGCUCUCUUUGGACCUUUUGUAUUUAGGAGGGUCAUAUGUUUGGUAAAAUCAGUAUUUUUGGCAUGUUGAGGGGUGAGUGGUAAGCUCCUAUUCAUGAGGCUUUGGGUUUGCUACACGCUCUUUGAUUCUAACUCAGAGGGAUCACAAAUCCACCUCUGGAAAAGGGCUUUUAAGAGAGACCUAUUGUAUACUGAAAUCCCCAUCUCUUUUUAUGGAUCUGAAAAGGCACUGUUUGCUGAGAGCUUUCUUUUGCUCCAGGCUACAUAAAGGACUGAACCUCACUGCCAUAUUCAUUCUACUAAUGGAUCCAAGAGUAAACAGACCCAGACAGACACUGCAUAGUGCAAAAAGCAAAGAAAAUCUCUGAAUAAUAUAUACAUCAAAAAGCCUUUUGUGGCUUAGUACCUCAGUGACAGAGAUGGGCCAUUGUAUUGGUUGUCAGAUUAUAGUAAGAGCACUGUGACCUAUUCACAUUUUCAUCGAAGCAUCUCAUCUGCCCGCUAUAUUGGCUGCUACUAAUAGAUAUAAACCAUGAGUAAACCCUCCAGUGGACCAGGGUAGACUAUGAACCACCAGCUACAUCUACUUUCUCAACAUUCACUUCCAGUCAGGGACCAAUGCUGGUCCAUACAGCUAAGAAACAUCCAAUAUCUAAUACAGUCACCCCACAUGUGCAAUGCUCAAUGUAGGCCAUACCUCCCAAUUCAAUGGGACCAGCCGACCUUCUAAUGUGUAUGAGUGGAGUCCUCAUUUUCCCCCAAUAGCAGAUAGGGGAAGGUCGGCCAUGUUGGAUCAUAAUUAGGGAUAAGCGAAUCGACUUCAGAUGAAGCAUCCGAAGUCAAUUCGCUCAUCCCUAAUCAUAAUAUGUCCAAUCCUUUUGUUCUCAAGGGAAUGGGAGCUAAACCACUGCAUAGGUGUCUAGAAGCAGCUUAUUCUCUUCUCCAUAUUAAUAACACAUGCAUCCUCAAAUAAGCCUAACAUGCAUCAUUAUGGGGAGUUGAAAGAAAUACCUGUCUACUGAACCAGCAUCUGUUGGAGGUGAAUGACCGCCUUUACUCUACUGAGCUUGAGCAACUACUUUACAUGCACUACCGUCAUUGCACUAGUCCAGACAAUUAAUGGGCUUGUCCAAGUGUUUAAGAGUGAUGACCUAUCCACAGGAUACUCCUGGCACCCUUGCCGAUCAGCGGUUUGAAGAGGCUGUGGCACUUCGAUGAGCACCACGGCCUCUUUCUAG
Molecule: RNA transcript, 2135 nt
Organism: Bufo bufo (common toad)
Lineage: Eukaryota; Metazoa; Chordata; Amphibia; Anura; Bufonidae
Gene name: achaete-scute homolog 2-like
Exons: 3
Source: RefSeq, a predicted model, not a curated record